This 253-nucleotide ribosomal RNA is filed under the name uncultured bacterium. RNAcentral's name for it is "partial 16S ribosomal RNA". It matches the Rfam family "Bacterial small subunit ribosomal RNA", at positions 524 to 776 of the family's 1533-position model. The record is from RNAcentral.
UACGUAGGUGGCAAGCGUUGUCCGGAUUUACUGGGCGUAAAGAGCGCGCAGGCGGUCGUUCAAGUCGCGUGUGAAAGCCCCCGGCUCAACUGGGGAGGGUCACGCGAUACUGAUCGACUCGAAGGCAGGAGAGGGAAGUGGAAUUCCUGGUGGAGCGGUGAAAUGCGCAGAGAUCAGGAGGAACACCCGUAGCGAAGGCGGCACUCUGGGCCGAUACUGACACUGAGGAGCGAAAGCGUGGGGAGCGAACAGG